GACAGAUCACCUGAUCCUGGAUAGCAAAAAAUGUGAUUACCAAAUCUGGAUAAUUUUGAUCCGGAUUACAUUUUUUGAACAACUGGCCCCUAGUUAUUGUUGUCCUGCGUUCACUGCUGUUCACCGCUUUCCCUGAAGGGGGCGUCUGUGAGCUCUGAGCAUGCACAGGUGGAGCGAAUGCAUGGAUGUGGUCAAGCUGAGCUAAACCAGAGGACAGAGUAUUGCUUUAUAGAUAAACAUACACCAGUGCGUCUACGAGUGGUUACUGAUGUCCAGUUAAAUAAAUCACACAGAAUAUAAUGGUGAACAACAGACCUUGCAUUUACAAGAAAACGUAUGCAUGCAUGGUACACUGAAACAGGCUGCAUGCAUAUUCAGUGUGUCACAAGGCAGAAGUGUAGUGGGAAUACUUCCACAAGUAUUUCCUUAGCAUUUAAACUGAAGCAAGGUUUCUAAAAUAAAAAAUCUUCACUCUGAGGACCUAAACUCCCCACCACUAUUUUACAUUGGAAUGCCGGUCACUCUGCAGGGUCCACACUUGUGAAUGCAUGCUCGGCUCUAUAGCUUCUGUAGCUGUAUAAUGUGUAGCUGUUUGGCUGCUUUCGAUAUCCUUUAUUCUUCUAAGAUCAUCUCACUGUACGAUAUUAUAACUAUACUUUGCUCACAAUAACGUUGAUUUUAUGUUAUUUGAUAUAUCAUAAAACGAUUCUCUGCGAUACUUCACAGCAUCUGUGUUACUGAUGAGGACAAAUUACUCGUAAAUAAAUAAGAACAGUUUCACAGAAUUUAACAACCAAUAAUCUUCACCAAAGGUUUAACCUAUUGAUGUGAUUAUAGGGCCACCACGUGGAGUAAUGAAACAGUAACUUUAGUAAGUCUAAUUAGGUGGUAAGUCUAUGUUUAAGGAGCGCCUAUGUUUAAAAAAAAAGCUUCCAUAUUUGAUGCCACAUAUAAAUGAAACCAAUACGAUAUAUUGCGAUAUAUUGAUUUUGACCCUACUGACAACACCUUUAGACACUGCUAGCCAUCUAUUUGUGUUGAUUUGCAUGAAUAAAUUAUAUUACAUUGCACAAGGUUUCUUAAGUAUCUGUAGUCACACAGAAGCACAGGAAAGUCCUCAGAGCUCUGCUGAAACUUGUCCAGGUAAAGUUUGAUAUCUAGCCCUGGUGGAGUGAGAGGGGAGCGAUGGAGACAACGAUGAGAAAAGGAGGAGGAGGAGGAAGCAAGGGAUCACACUGAGUCAGAGACGAGCUCUAACAAAUCCACCCACGGAGCGGAAAGAGAGAGAGAGGACAAAACACAGGAAAAUCAUGAAAAAAUCUAUAAAAACUGACUGAAAGAAUAAAAAAAGUACAACCGAAACUCUUUAUGGAAAG
RNAcentral lists this long non-coding RNA (1376 nucleotides) under Astyanax mexicanus (Mexican tetra). Its description in RNAcentral is "lncRNA (ENSAMXG00005023370.1)". Lineage: Eukaryota; Metazoa; Chordata; Actinopteri; Characiformes; Acestrorhamphidae. The record is from RNAcentral.